GGGUCUGUCCAUUGGUCGGGCUUUACGGUCCGUACUGGUGAGAUGGGUUCCUACCUUCUGAAUAACCUGCAUGCCAUUUAGUUGGUGCGCCGGGGAGGCAGAGCUAUUACCUUGAAAAAAUUAGAGUGCUUAAAGCAGGCUAUUGCUUGAAUAGAUUAGCAUGGAAUAAUAAAAUAGGACGGCAUGGUUCUAUUUUGUUGGUUUCUAGGAUCACCGUA
RNAcentral lists this ribosomal RNA (218 nucleotides) under Glomeromycotina sp. RNAcentral describes it as "partial small subunit ribosomal RNA". The stretch from base 48 to 218 matches the Rfam family "Eukaryotic small subunit ribosomal RNA", at positions 693 to 864 of the family's 1831-position model. Lineage: Eukaryota; Fungi; Glomeromycota. The record is from RNAcentral.